AAUGGGUUUGAGUUAAUCUUUUACAAUUACGAGUGAAUUUGGAUAAACUUUUAGACUCAUAUUUCAGACCAGACUGAAUUUAAAUAUACAUAAAUUAUGUUAAUAUCAUACUUGACCUGAAUCUAACCCCACCCGACCUAACCGAUUAGCACUAAUUUAACCUGAAUCUAGCCCCGCCGACCUAGCUCAUUAGCACUAAGGGCCAGUUCUUCAUUGCUUUUGAAAAGUGCUUUUGAAAAAUGCCGUGGAAAAGUGAUUUUGAGAAGUGCUUUUGAAAAGUUUGGUUUAAAAUUUGAAUGUUAAGCAUUACUGUCAAAAAGUGCUUUUGAGAAAUAAAAUGUCCAUUUUAGACAUGUUAUUAUCAAGUAACAAAUAUGUAUUUAAAUAAUAUUUAAAUUAGUUAAUAUUAUUAUAUUUUAGUAAUAAUAUAAAAAAAAUUAUUAUAACUUGUUGUUAAUAUUUUAAUAUAUAAAAUAUAAAUUGUAAAUAUUUUUAAUUAAUAAAUAUUAAUUAUUUAUAAAAUUUAAUUAUAAUAUAUAAACUAUAUUUUAAAUAUUUAAAUAUAAUCAUUAAAUAUUUGUAAUUAAUAUUUUAAAAAAUAUUUUUUUAUUUUUAAUUAAUGAUUUUAACACAGUUGUAAUUAAACACCAAGAAAAAAAGAAAAAUACUAUGUUAUUGGAGGGAUGAAAAAGUAAUUAAACACCAAAAGUGUUUUUGGGAGAGGAAAAGCUAAAAUAUUUAGCUUCUACUUUUUAGCUCCUUUUCAGAAGUACUUUUGAAAAUUUAAAAAUUUCAGCCAAAAACAGUUCAUUCUUCAUUAUUUUUUUUUUAAAAGUACUUUUGAAGUCAAAUAUAUAUAUAUAUAUAUAUAUAUAUUUUAAGUAAGAAAGAACUGACCGUACCGACCUAACCCAUUAGCACUAAUUUGUCUAUUAGCAAUUAUUGUUAUCUCAUAUAUGUGUUGUCUCUUGAUCCACACUUUGUUUUCACUGUUCCAACUCUAUCUCUCUAAGCUCCCAAUAUGGCCAAUUCCCACCAACCGUUUGUUGCACUCAUCGUCGGCGUCACCGGCAUGGCGGGGUUGAGCCUAGCUGAAGCCUUGAAGAGCCCCAGUGCCCUCGGCGGUCCUUGGAAAGUUUAUGGCUCUGCUUCACGUCCCAUACCAACUUGGUUCCCUUCCUCGCUCCUCGAUAAAUACAUCGCUUUUGAUGCCACCGACGCCGGAAACACCGCUGAUACGCUCGCUCCAAUCUCCGGCGAAGUCACCCAUGUUUUCUGGGUGGCAAUCCAAGUUCGUGAAAGUGAACAAGUAAAUGUUACAGUUAACGCAACUAUGUUAUCCAACGUUCUCGAUGUUUUGAAGAGCGGCCCGGGCGGCAACGGAACCGGUUCAAGGCUCAGCCAUGUCACGGUUCAGAGAGGUACCCAACACUACAUGGGUCCGAUCCAUAAUCCGACGGAAUCGGGCCAGGGUCUCGAACCCCAUGAACCACCGUUUAGGGAGGAUUUGCCCCGCUUGCCUUACCCCAACUUUUACUACGCGCUAGAAGAUCUUUUGGAGUCAUACGCGCCAUCAUUGACCUACUCUGUGCACCGCUCGUCGAUCAUAAUAGGCGCGUCGUCGAGAAGCGUGUAAACGCGCUACUUACAUUAGCAGUGUACGCAUUGAUAUGUCGAUACGAGGGUUUACCGUUUCGAUACCCAGGUAGCCGGUACACAUGGGAGCAUUUUUGCGACAUGUCCGAUGCACGCGUGCUCGCCGAGCAGCAUAUAUGGGCCGCAGUGACUCCCAGUGCCAAGAACCAAGCCUUUAAUUGCACUAACGGCGAUAUGUUCACUUGGAAAAGCUUAUGGAAAAAAUUGUGCGACAUAUUUGAUCUCGAAUUUAUCCCUUCCGUGGAGUUGGAAAACUUUGAUUUUGUUGAGCUGAUGAAGGAGAAAAGCAAGGUAUGGGAUGAAAUAGUGGAAAUGCAUGGAUUGUUCAAGACGAAAUUGGAGGAAAUUACAUGUGCAGCAGCUCUUAACAACGUGUUACAUUUUGGGUUUCAACAUGUUUGUAGUAUGAAUAAGAGUAGAGAUUAUGGGUUCUUUGGGUAUGCAGAUACCCUCAAAAGUAUUCCCAUGUGGGUUGAGAGAUUGAGAGACAUGAAGAUUAUACCUUAAUCAUGUGGUUCAUGUAUUCCAUAUAUAUUUUAGAAAUAAAUCAUAUGGUUGUUACCUGAUCCUUCUUAUUGUGAUUGGGUUGUGUUCCUCUAUUUGAUUUGAUUUUCAAUUUUAAACCAAAGUCAAAGAGAAGCAAAUAAUAUAAAUGGGUAUGCAAAACCUAUCCUUGUGAGGGAAGGUUUUAGGGAUGAGAUUCUUGGUACUAAAAUAUAUUUAUAUAUUUACAUUUAAUUAAUCUAGCUUUAUUUUUUUUGUACUUUUAUAUUUGUUUAAUUUGAUUGUUUCAUAUUUUAUCUAAUCAUUAUCAAAUCCUUGAUUGCAUUGGUAUUAAGAGAUAGAAAAAGAAAAGAAAAAAAAAAGCACUCAAG
Molecule: long non-coding RNA, 2531 nt
Filed under: Gossypium barbadense (sea-island cotton)
Lineage: Eukaryota; Viridiplantae; Streptophyta; Magnoliopsida; Malvales; Malvaceae
Description: long non-coding RNA (GBAR_LNC019245)
Source: RNAcentral